CUCGUCUACCAACGAGAGGCUCCGCCUGGGGGCAGAGCGGCCUCGCGUCCCUGGAGGUCCACGGUGGUCGCGCGGGGGCGGGGGCCCAAGGACAUCUCCUGUGCGUGGGGGGCGCCACUUUUCCAGCGGGAAGGUCGGGGUGCAGGAGGGUGUUGCCUCUGGAGGCUUUGGCUUUCCUCAUUACCCCGAGAGCCAGGUUGCCAUUGCAACUUGGAAUCCUACAGGGGGUUGAAUGGCUGGAACAGCCUGGGCUGUACUGGGGACCGAGGAUCUGAAGGGAAAGAGCCCCACGGCUCCCUGCCCGGUGUUGGCGUGUGCCCACAGUGUCCUCCCGCGAAAGGCAAGAAGACACUGGCAACCCAGUUCCCCCAGCUUUCAUCGGACCCUGAGGGCCCUGCCCAGGAAGCCAGGGGACGCAAGGCGUCCUCGCUCGCGCCUUUCAUCCCUAGAUCUCCAAGCAAAGGCGGGUUCAUCACCCCAAUGACGCUGCCCUUUGUGAGCUGCUUUCAUGUCGGCCGCCGGGAGCGCAGGCUCAGCAAUAAGCCCAGGGAGGCGACAUGACAGGCGCCCGGCCCAGCCCGAGUUUAUAAGGCAGCUCAUGGGCGCUGCAAAUCAGCAAUCUACCAGGAAGACAGCGGUCGGGGCCCAGCCCUUUGUGCAUGGCCUGGGCACGGACAGCGGGCGUGGGAGGGGCGAGGGCAUCGGCCUUUCCGGUUUGCCCGAUCCCGGUGGAGUGGGAGCCCAGCCCUUCCUGCAAGAUCCAGACCUCGGUACCAGACACUGCUCGCUUCCCCUCCUCGAUCCCGGGUCAUCUCCUGCAUCGCUGCCCACGGCCAGGGCGCUCCUCACCCUCACCCAUCAGGUCCUGGGACCCUCGGUACCCAGCGCUGAUCAGCUGUACUCACCGUGCUGCGCAGGCAUCGCCGGGUUACCUCGGGGCUGCGCACCCCGGGGAUGGCCACGUGGCGGCCGCUCCGCUCGUCCCAGCACGCGGUCCGAAGCCCUGGACGAGGCCGGAGGAGCAGCGCAGGGCCAGCACACUCCUGUGCACGGGCUGCAGCCCCGGCCCCACGGAAGAGGAUAGGGAACAUCUGGCGACUCAGGGAUUGCGUGAACGAAGCGUUCCUAUACGAGGGCAACCUUUGGGCCUCUGAGACCCCAAAACAGCGGCCCGCCUCCGGGAGCCUAGAACCUUCGGCGCUCGCGCCCAACCAGGCCCCUUCCCGGUUGGCAUCUCCCCCGCCGGCCUCUGGGGG
This 1256-nucleotide long non-coding RNA is filed under the name Fukomys damarensis (Damara mole-rat). RNAcentral's name for it is "lncRNA (ENSFDAG00000028187.1)". Lineage: Eukaryota; Metazoa; Chordata; Mammalia; Rodentia; Bathyergidae. The record is from RNAcentral.